UGCGUUACUCCCCGCACUGAAGGCUCUGCAACCCAUCUUUAAAGCCAAGAUUCGUAAAGAGGGAAGAGGCAAGUACAGCCCGCAGCAGCUGUGUGUGCUGGACAACAUCAAAGUGAACCUGAGGAGAUUCAUCGGUUACCUGGAGAAAGUGGUGAAGAAGUAACGAGCGCUGGACCUCACGGUGGUGUGGACAGAGAUGCUAACGGUAGCAUCAAAAGAAUCAGACUGUGGUUGUGAGACCAUCAAAUAUUUAUUAUGUUGGUAGUAAGCCGCCUGUUUCAGUGUUAAUAUUCUCAAAAUAAUAAUGAUUUACAAUUUUACCUGUAUUUGUUGUGAAGAAAGACAGGAUUAUUUGAGUUAUUAGUUACUGCAAGUGGCAGUAAAGAAAGGUUUUUAUUUGUCUUCCCUUGAUUUAAAUGUGACAAUCAGGACCAAAUGUUUGUCUUGGAUUUGUUCACUUUAAUUUCCCAAAGUAAGUACCUCUACACCCCCAGGUUUUGAUUUGGGUCCCCUUAAUUCUGCCACUUGUUCCAAUAGCCUAAACGUUGAUGUUUGCAGAGCUAUGCUACAUAAGAUUUAUCAGUAUGGGAUAAUUGCCACCUAAUAAAAAAGAGAAUAUUUAGUUUUAUUGUUUAGUGUAAACAUAAUUUAUCUUUGGAAAGAAAUUGGCUUGCAUUUGAAGAGAGAAAUAAAAAAAUGACUGUCAUUUUAAUAUCGUACGAAGCGACCUGUUCUCACUGCCAAGGUGUUAACAUAAACAUUUUUACAUUUUUACCGUUAGGAGGAACACAUUUUCUCACAAUCCAGGCUCCCUGUUUUCACGGAGAGCUGAAUUUGUUAAUGUAUUUUUGUGAAACUUUUCAGUCUGCAAGUCACCACAGAAACCCAUUUUCUACUGAAAGCAUGUUUUUCAGGAACAAAGUGAAUAUCAAUUAUGAAUGAAAUCAAUUAUCAUCCAAACUUGCUGCUACAACUUAGAAUAUACAGUUUGCUAACUGCAGGUUUGAAAUAUGUAAAUGGAGGGUAGUAGUGCCAUCUUUUUGCACCUGAUCCAAAGUUUACCCUGCUUUGAGUUUCUGACAGUUAAUUUAUUAGCUCUCAUUCAUUAAUCCAUUCAAUGCUCAAACUGAAUGGUGACUUUAAACCAUAAAUACAAUUUUCCUAAAGACCAAAAUGAAGUGUGUGAUAGUUAGUUCUUACGUUGUAAGAGUCGGGCACAGCUUCUGGUUUCCCACAAGUUUUCAGGGACAUGUUGAUAAAAAUGCCUAUCAUUAAUAUAAAAACACAUUUCAAAGAAAAUGUAGGGGGGGUUUAUGUCUUUGGGAUGGGAUUUAAUGCCUUUUUGAAAUAAAUCCUGAUUUCUUAAG
This is a long non-coding RNA of Notothenia coriiceps (black rockcod), 1367 nucleotides long. RefSeq lists it as uncharacterized. The record is from RefSeq and is a predicted model, not a curated record. NCBI's taxonomy places the organism in Eukaryota, Metazoa, Chordata, Actinopteri, Perciformes, Nototheniidae. The transcript is spliced from 2 exons.